UACAGAGGUGGCAAGCGUUGUUCGGCCUUACUGGGCGUAAAGGGCGCGUGGGCGGCCCGCCAAGUCCUGUGUGAAAGCCCCCGGCUCAACCGGGGAACGGCGCGGGAAACUAGCAGGCUUGAGUUCGGGAGAGGGAAGCGGAAUUCCGGGUGUAGCGGUGAAAUGCGCAGAUAUCCGGAGGAACACCGGUGGCGAAGGCGGCUUCCUGGACCGACACUGACGCUGAGGCGCGAAAGCUAGGUGAGCAAACGGG
Molecule: ribosomal RNA, 253 nt
Filed under: uncultured bacterium
Lineage: Bacteria
Description: partial 16S ribosomal RNA
Rfam family: Bacterial small subunit ribosomal RNA
Source: RNAcentral